GGCCCGGAAGCGGCUUUGUGGUACUCGAACGGGGUGCGGGUCUGGGCGCGGUUGUGAACCCCUGUCUGUCCCCUCAGUGGCGCUUUAGGCUGCUUCCCCCUCCCCCCCCAUCACAACUUGGGCCUUUUUUUUUUUUGGACUACAACUCCUAUCAGGCCUAGCUAGAGGACCAAGUGGUCAGGGCUGAUGGGAAUUGUAGUCCAAUAACGGCCCUGGGGAAACACUGGCAGAGACAGCAGGAGUGUAGCCGAAGCCCUUCCGGAUCGCCGCCUCGGCGGUGCUGGAAGUCCCGGACGACGGUUUGUUGUCGGAAUUUCGCAGGCGCAGCAGCUUAGAUCCGGGACUACCUUGGAAAGAACCGUUAAGGCCACAAUGCUACUGUCUGCGAUUACGUCGCCUGGGAGUAAACUCCAUUAAAACUAUAAUAUUGCGCUCUAUGGUGUAUCCUUUUAGUUGUGUGAUUUAUUUUGAAGUCAGUAUUUCUACUCAGUCGGCGGAACGUGAGACUCUUAAUCCUCAGGGUCCUAGUUUCGAGCCCCAAGUUGGGCGAAAGAUUAAUGCUUUGCACAGGUUUGGACCAGAUGACCCUUCUGGUCGCUUCCAGCUCUAGAGUUCUAUGAUUUCUCUUGUCUACUGUUGUGGAAAUCUAAAUGGGAAAAGAAGGUGGACUAGUGAAGCCUAAAACAACCCUGCAUGUGCCCAUGAAGAAUUACGUAUGGCUGUUACCAAGAUUUAAAGCCAUGAACUUUUUACUAAGAUAACUAUGGGCUGGGCAUCUUCUCAGCCUAAUCUACCCUACAAUGUUGUUGUUAGGAGAAAAUGAGCAGGCAGAAAACUACCUUGCAUUUGUUGGAGAAAGUAGCAUUUAGUGGUGGGUUAAAGUGGCAUUUAAUAAUGGUACAAUAAAAUAUGUCAUGUUCUCUGUUGGCUGUGUGUGUUUGUUCCUUACCCACGUGUGCAUUUAGGCACACACAUCUGAUAUAAUAAUAAUAAUGGUAUAAAAGGUGUAGCAGGAAAUCUGGUAUCUUUUAUAGAAGCAAUGCAUGUGAAUAUUAUCACCAUUAAAAGUAGAGUCAAGUCAUUAGGCAAACUAGUUUUUAAUUUUUUAGAGCUAGCAGUGCCAACAGUUCUCGUCCUUGAAUGAUAACCCCAUUCACUGCACUGUGCAACACAGUUUACUUAUUUGGUACAUACACUGCCAGCUCAUCAGCUGUUUUUCCUUCUGAAUUCUGAUUUAUUCAGGAUUAAUAAUCUAAUAACUAUUAACAAUUAGAAAUAUUUGAAAAGCAUAAAAUGUCUUCAGUACAAGAAUGAUUACAUUUGACAUUUACUAACUUGGUGGAUAAGAUUAUUCUAAAUCCAGUUUAAGGAAAGCCAUAUGAAAAAACACUGCAUCAAGAACCACAGGUGAAACCUAGACAUUCAAGAGUGCACUACAUCUCUUUCAGCUGAAUGUACAUUUCUAGCCACAUUCUGAACCCACAAGUAACAUGUAAAUGUUUUUAAAAUGUGUGAAUACAGCUGGAUUAGGUUACAAACCACAACAUUUCUUGCAAUCUCUGCUAAAGCAAUUUGUCUUCUACCCAUUUUCUGUACACACAGUAAAUUAUAUACAGUUAGCUAUUUUGGAAUUGGUAUGUACCCAGGAUCCUAAGAAGUUUGUUAUGUGAAUUGACCUUUAUUGUAAGUGCCACCAACAAACAGUUGUACUUUCUGUAGAGGCAGCAUCUAGAAAUCCUCACAAAGAGAUGAGAACAUGGUAUGUUGUGUGGAAGGUAUAUUCAUAGCUGGCAACUUUACCCUUUUUUUAAGGGAAAUUCCCUUAUUCCGAAUAGGAUUCCUCGCAAGAAAAGGGGAAAGUUGACAGCUAUGGGUAUAUUUAAGAUAGAGUAGGAGAGAAGCUUGAACAAAGAAACUGAAAAUUGGUUGGAGCAAAGCAUAUGAGACAUAGAGCAGCAUAGUCUGCUGUGCACGAGAGGGUUAUAUGCAGUAAGCAGGUAAAAGAUAUGUUUGGAUCCAAAAGGCUUCAUUUAAAGACACUAUGUGUGCUUGGGGGCUUUUAACCUUUUUUAUUUUUUAUUUUUGUAGCUUCAUCCUUCCUCUGGAUAAGCUGCCCUGACAGCUCUGGAACAGCAUGUUGAAACUUGGUCUGAUCCAGCUGGGCUCUUCAUACGCAUAAAGUGUAAGGCUUUUAGGCUGCUGGUGAGAAGAAUUGCAUCUUUGAAUACUUCUCUAAUUAAAAACAGAAACCAUUUCACAUAGAAACAUAGUCUGUUAGGGAGACUGUGAGGCAUGAUAAACCCUUUCCCCUGACAUGCUACUUUUCCAUGUAAACGAUUCCCCCCACAUGAGGAAACAUUAAAAGUGCAACAUGUACACACCCAUUGAUAGCCUAAAGUGGUAUAUGUUGCCCUUAAGCAGAUAAUUUACACAAAAGCGCUAUUUGAUCUUUCAAUAGAUUUCACAUUACGCCUACCCAAUUUUGCAGGUAAAUGAAAGUAUGUGUUGGAAAAAUAUUGAGGUGGUCAGAAUAGUAUAUGGACAGACUUAAAACGAAGAGAUUUGGACAUACGCCUGGUAAAAUUGGCAGAAAGCCAGAUUUCCUCCAUUUUGGGACAUGUAGCUUAUAAUUUCAGUCAUGAAGAAACGAAAGCGAAAGACAUGGAAGAAGAUAAACACCCACACAGGAACAUAUUGUUUGAUUUAACUUGCUUGCUAGAUGAACUCGGAGGCUGUGAAAAAUGAACGAAGGAUUAACAUCGGAUUGAUUUAUGGGAAUCACCUGGACUAACUUAGAAGGAGAGCAAAUGUGAGAUGAUCGCCACCCCCUGACCUCAGAGCAUGGGAAGUCAAACAAAGAUGUAUAAAUUGGCAUAAUAUUUGGACUGUUCGAUUAUUUUAUAAUUUGGAAUGUUUUUAAUGUGGCUUUUAUUGGAUUGUUAAAUUGGAAAACUUAAUAAAUAUUAUUUUAAAAAAGUAAGCCCCACCAACUUCAGUUGGACUUGCCCCCAAGUAAGGAUUGUGUAUAGGACUGUAGCUUCAGUCAGGGCUAUUUCAUAUGUCUCCCAUCCCACACAAGCACUUACACAUAAGGAAACAUGGAAGUGUGUGAAAUAGCCCACAUGGCAGCUGAAAUCACCCAUUUGCUCAUUGGGAGGAUCUUCCUCCUCCCAAGUCAAAGCUUUUUCUGCUUUUCCAACGCAGCAUUUUAAUGAAGUUAAGACUCGCGCUGAAAACCUUAUCAUGCUGAAAAACCAUUUUGUAGAAGGUAUCAAUAGGCAGGUCUCCAUUUGGAUCAGCAUAUUUCAGCGUUGUAAUUGG
This is a non-coding RNA of Podarcis lilfordi (Lilford's wall lizard), 3321 nucleotides long. NCBI's taxonomy places the organism in Eukaryota, Metazoa, Chordata, Lepidosauria, Squamata, Lacertidae. The record is from the annotation of a GenBank genome assembly.